RNAcentral lists this non-coding RNA (102 nucleotides) under Bacillus sp. (in: firmicutes). RNAcentral describes it as "Bacillus sp. Guanine sequence". It matches the Rfam family "Purine riboswitch aptamer". From Rfam's summary of the family: Riboswitches are metabolite binding domains within certain messenger RNAs that serve as precision sensors for their corresponding targets. Allosteric rearrangement of mRNA structure is mediated by ligand binding, and this results in modulation of gene expression. Lineage: Bacteria; Bacillati; Bacillota; Bacilli; Caryophanales; Bacillaceae. The record is from RNAcentral. RNAcentral also lists the same sequence under 1 other name.
AUUCAUGAAAAUAUGUAUACUCGUAUAAUCUUGGAGAUAAGGUCCAUAAGUUUCUACCAAACUGCCGUAAAGAGUUUGACUACGAGAAGAAUAGAGGCAAAA